UACGUAGGGUGCAAGCGUUGUCCGGAAUUACUGGGCGUAAAGCGCACGUAGGCGGCUUUGUAAGUAAGAGGUGAAAGCCCAGAGCUCAACUCUGGAAUUGCCUUUUAGACUGCAUCGCUUGAAUCAUGGAGAGGUCAGUGGAAUUCCGAGUGUAGAGGUGAAAUUCGUAGAUAUUCGCAAGAACACCAGUGGCGAAGGCGGCUCACUGGCCCGGUACUGACGCUGAGGUGCGAAAGCCAGGGGAGCAAAGCGGG
RNAcentral lists this ribosomal RNA (254 nucleotides) under uncultured bacterium. RNAcentral's name for it is "partial 16S ribosomal RNA". It matches the Rfam family "Bacterial small subunit ribosomal RNA", at positions 524 to 777 of the family's 1533-position model. The record is from RNAcentral.